This 465-nucleotide ribosomal RNA is filed under the name marine sediment bacterium BB0608_AND_7.2_9G0. Its description in RNAcentral is "bacterial SSU rRNA". It matches the Rfam family "Bacterial small subunit ribosomal RNA", at positions 90 to 590 of the family's 1533-position model. The record is from RNAcentral.
GGAGAGUGGCGCACGGGUGAGUAACGCGUGGGGACCUACCUCUUAGUGGGGGAUAACGGUUGGAAACGACCGCUAAUACCGCAUACGCCCUUCGGGGGAAAGAUUUAUCGCUAAGAGAUGGACCCGCGUUGGAUUAGAUAGUUGGUGAGGUAACGGCUCACCAAGUCAGCGAUCCAUAGCUGGUUUGAGAGGAUGAUCAGCCACACUGGGACUGAGACACGGCCCAGACUCCUACGGGAGGCAGCAGUGGGGAAUAUUGGACAAUGGGGGCAACCCUGAUCCAGCCAUGCCGCGUGAGUGAAGAAGGCCUUCGGGUUGUAAAGCUCUUUCAGAUGCGAAGAUGAUGACGGUAACAUCAGAAGAAGCCCCGGCUAAUUUCGUGCCAGCAGCCGCGGUAAUACGAAAGGGGCUAGCGUUGUUCGGAUUUACUGGGCGUAAAGGGCACGCAGGCGGUCUUGCCAGUCA